Molecule: long non-coding RNA, 105 nt
Organism: Aricia agestis (brown argus)
Lineage: Eukaryota; Metazoa; Arthropoda; Insecta; Lepidoptera; Lycaenidae
Exons: 3
Source: RefSeq, a predicted model, not a curated record
AAUAGUUAAUUUCCUAUCAAUUCUUGUUAAAAACUUUUUUUUCAGAUUAAAAAAACAGUGUCCCUAUGUAAAAUGUUUCGCGGUAAGCGCGCAGACAUCCGUCUC